ACCUCCAAAUUGUUAAAAUCUCAGUUUUCUCACUACUCUUUUCAUAAACUAAACAAAACUUCGCUUGUUAGAGAAAUCUCAGAGGAAGCAUAUCAAUAUCCUUUCCUCUUAUACAUAAGAAAGACUUAAUUUUUAGAUUAUCCAUAAAGAAAGUUUACAUAUCAGUACAUUGAACAUUGCUGGUUUAAACCCCUAUGCGUGGCCCAAAGUACCACCAAAAUUUCAACUGAUAUUAAAAUUUUGAACCCAUAAUCUCAACUCAAUGGACAACCAAUUGUCAUCCUCUGUAUUUGUUAGUUUUCCUUAUUGGGAAAAUCCAUAUUGAAUAGGAAGGUGCAGAGAACUUCAAUUAAUGGAUGAUCUCCAGAAUAGCAAAGUCGCUACCAAAGCAAUAAAGAGCUUAAACGUUAGAUAAUCGAAGGAAAUCCCAAUUUCUUUUUUAGCUAUUUUUGAAUUUCACAAAAUUAACAUAAAAUUACAAUUUAAUUGCGAGCAACAAAUCAGCAAGAACCCAAAAAUAAAACAAUCAUAGUCACAUAUAAUGAAAAAAGAGAGAACAAUAAACUAACCUUUCAGCCAUAAGAUUAUGUCAAUUGAGCAACUACUGAACUGCAAAACCCCAAACAAAACCCUAAUUUUUUGUUACAACGAAAGAAGCAGAAGCCAAAGGAAUUCUGAGCGAAGAUCAGCAGUGACUGUCAACCAUGUGAUUAUGUCAAUUUAGCAACUAAGGAACUACAAAAAUCCAAGCCAAACACCAAUUAUUUCUUACAGCGAAGAAGAAGGUUGUGGAAUUCUGAGCGAAGAGAGAAAAAAACAUAGCAAAUUUAAUUCUGCACUUUGAAAUUACCUAUUUAAUUCUUCUGUGAAAGAUACAAAUCAGAUAGAGAAAAACAAAGAAGAUGAACCGAUAGAGAUAGAGAGUGACCUAUCUG
This 935-nucleotide long non-coding RNA is filed under the name Nicotiana tabacum (common tobacco). Its description in RNAcentral is "long non-coding RNA (NTAB_LNC009400)". The record is from RNAcentral. Lineage: Eukaryota; Viridiplantae; Streptophyta; Magnoliopsida; Solanales; Solanaceae.